RNAcentral lists this ribosomal RNA (252 nucleotides) under uncultured bacterium. RNAcentral's name for it is "partial 16S ribosomal RNA". It matches the Rfam family "Bacterial small subunit ribosomal RNA", at positions 524 to 772 of the family's 1533-position model. The record is from RNAcentral.
UACAGAGGGUGCAAGCGUUUGUUCGGAAUUAUUGGGCGUAAAGGGAGUGUAGGCGGCUAGGUAAGUUUUCUGUGAAAGCUACGGGCUCAACCCGUUAAAGUGCAGAGAAUACUGCUUGGCUUGAGUGUCGGAGAGGAUAGUGGAAUUCCCGGUGUAGAGGUGAAAUUCGUAGAGAUCGGGAAGAACAUCAGUGGCGAAGGCGGCCUGCUGGGCUGUUGCUGACGCUGAGGCGCGACAGCGUGGGGGAGCAAA